UGAGCAACCUGCCCUUGACAUUGGAAUAACAGUUGGAAACAGCUGCUAAUACCGGGUAUGACCUGUCACCGCAUGGUGGUGGGUGGAAAGCCUUGGCGGUCAGGGAUGGGCUCGCGGCCUAUCAGCUAGUUGGUGAGGUAAUGGCUCACCAAGGCUUCGACGGGUAGCCGGCCUGAGAGGGCGACCGGCCACACUGGGACUGAGAUACGGCCCAG
Molecule: ribosomal RNA, 215 nt
Filed under: uncultured bacterium
Lineage: Bacteria
Description: partial 16S ribosomal RNA
Rfam family: Bacterial small subunit ribosomal RNA
Source: RNAcentral